UGUGCAUUUGGUUUCAUUAAGGAAUACAAUUAGGGUCUUCUCUGUCGAGCAUAUUAUCAGAAUAGCAUAUGCAUAGAAAAAUAUUUGAGUCAGGGAAGUGGUCUUUAUUUGUCGCUAUCAUAAUGCAGACUCUUAAAUCCAACAUGGGUCCGGACAGCUAGUACACACAUAUGCACUCACACCAGACCUAAGAAACUAAACUCUGGCCCGAAGGACACGCUGUAACUUUGUAGAGGGGUGAGGAUUAAUCAGACCCGACUAGCCGAUACAGGGCCAUUUUCGGCUGCCAUUCAUUUAAUGUCUCCUGCCUGUACGAAUGGCCUUCGCCUCCAGUCGAUGGUGGGUUUAAGGCUUGGGAUGAGAUGUGAUCAAAGUGACAAACGGGGAGUAGAACUUCCAGCCACUGCCUUAAUAUUGACACUCCCGUUUCCAACAGACUCAUUUCAGAGUUAAAGGUCAAGGAGGAGAGAGCGAGAGAGAGCGAGAGAGAGCGAGAGAGAGAGAGAGAGAGAGAGAGCGAGAGAGAGAGAGAGUGUGACAGUGUCAUUAAUCAAUCCUGAUAUAUGAAGUUGUUUGUUCGACCCGCUAAGACAUCUGGGAGCCAGUGGACAUUUUGUGCUGAACAAAAUACUUUACUGGUUUACUUUAAUAGCCCUGAUAUCCAAUCCCACCCGCUCUCCAUCUAGUGGCAUGAAUGAACACGUACACCGUCGUUUCUGAGGAGGAGUAUAGAGUUUAAGGUAAAUUUAUUCAAGCCACUCAUGAGUCAUUGAAGUGAACUGACUUACGUACGGUGAAUAGACCGCAAUCUGCAAUGCAUCUGCUAAAUCUUUGACGCAUUUCCGGCCCACGCUAGCUUGGCUAGCUUGGAUAGUAGGCUAGGUUAGGUAAGGCUAGGCUACGUUGUGUAGCAUUAGUGGUGUCGAGGAGACAGCUCUGUGGCCUGGACUGACGCUGGGCAAGGUCACAUCGCAUCCCCUGCCAUGAAUAAAACAUAUGAGAGAGAGAGAGAGAGAGAGAGAGAGAGAGAGGGAGAGGGAGAGGGAGAGGGAGAGAGAAUGAGACAAUAUUGGAGAGAGAGGGCAGGAACAAGAGAGAGAUACAGUUAGAUGAUGAAGGAGAGAGGGAAGGAGAGAUAAAAGGAGAGUAAUGUUCAGUGAAAAUGCCAGAGAUGGGAAUGAGGGGAAGAGAGGAGAGAGAUACACAGUGGAGAUUCAAGAUGGCAGGAGGGAGAAAGAGUGAGAGAUGCUGAAACUGAAUCCACCCCCUCCCGUAGGCGGUCCACUGGGAGGGCUGGAGUCAGGGGCAGUUAGAGGAAGAGGAAGAUGAGAGGUGGAGUGUGAGGGAGAGGAGGAAGUUGAGAUGUUCACAGCUGAGGCAUGCCAUGAAACACAACUUCCUGUGUAGUCACCAAUAACCCCUAGCAGCUCAUUGGUUGUGGCGGCUGAGGAGGAGGUGCCCUUGGCAGUGCUCAUCAUGUCGAGCCGACAUCCAGGCAGGCACACUAUGGAGUGUAACUACGUAAGCAUGAAAUCCAAACAAAAGUACACAAUUUAGAAUGGAACCUCAAUGGGUGGUUUUAGUUUUCAAACUCACAACCUGUAAUUGCUGAUGGAACGGUUUAAUACGUACACGUUUUAAGUGAUCCAGCUCAGACAAAAUGGAACAGCGGCUGCCAACGGAAAAGGUUGUCUUCGUUGCGUGUUUCUCCACAGUGUGAGGCAGGUUGCUACGUCAUUCCAUGUACCACCUCCAUUGCCUGGCGGCUGGCAGCUUCUGCACAGCCAGCCAACACCCAUCAGUCAUGAGUGCCAGACAGACUUGAAGGGCUUCUUAGGGGGUGUGGAAAUCUAAUCCUAAUCAAGUCAAUAAGUAAGAAAAAAAAAGAUUCCCUGAGAAUGAUGUUCGAAAAACUGCAGUCUGCAAUGUUUCUGCAGGAUGGAAGCAGCAUCACGUCAGCUCAAACAGGCGGUUAAAGAUCUCUCCUGCUGGAAACCGGUUACUGCCGUGUGCAGUGGUGGAGGGAAUACAUAGGGUGAGGGGAAUGGCAGUUAGGGUUAGGGGGAAUGGCAGUUAGGGUUAGGGUUAGUGGUGGAGGGAAUACAUAGGGUGAGGGGAAUGGCAGUUAGGGUUAGGGUUAGUGGUGGAGGGAAUACAUAGGGUGAGGGGAAUGGCAGUUAGGGUUGGAGAGUGUUAGGAAGAACACAAAACUAAUUAUCUGAGAUGUUUCAUUUUAUUGUAAUUGGAUCUGUUAUCCAAUUUUUAAUCCAUACAUGGAGGUUUUAUAACAUUACACCUGCAUUGUAAUGUACAAUCCAGUAGCAUAUACCCUUUAUUUUACUAUAUACUCACAGCUGAGUAUAGUUUAUAAUAUGAUAUGAAGAUAGCUUAUUAAGAAUUUUUGACUUUGAACAUCUCCUACAUUUAAAAACACCUGAUGACGACGGUCUUCCGCUCUAAGCAAAACUGGGCGCGGCUUCAAAACUGCUAAUCCCUGGAACCCUUUAAAACAGAGAAAGAUUCAGCUGAAGUCGUUCGCGAGUUUUCGUUAAGAAAUAUCGUGGGUGUCUUCUCCAUUUCGAUUCGGGUGGGUCGAGAAGGGUGAGGACACUCCUUGUGGAGGUUAUUGAUCGCCCCAUGUGCAGGCGCCGUGGGUGGGGGCGGUUGUUGGUGUGUUUUGUGUGUGCGUGUCUGGGCCAGGGGGGUGGGGUUGCGCGAUGGCAUGUCCUUGGCUCUGAGGCUGUUUGUCCUCUGUCAUGAGAGACAGAUAGCCAGUAUCCAGAAAUAACUCAGCAUUGAUUCUCCACUACCCCUCCUCACUGCCUUGCGUUGGGUCAUCUCCCUCUCUCUGUCUCUGUCUCCCUCUCUCUCUCUCUCUGUGACUUCUCACUUACUCUUAUUCUUUUUCUCCCAGAAUGAAGUCAUUUAACCAUCCUCCCCCACUCAGAUUUCUCUCUCUCUCUCUCUCUCUGUCUCUGUCUCUCUCUCUCUCUCUCUCUCUCUCUCUCUCUCUCUCUCUCUCUCUCUCUCUCUCUCUCUCUCUCUCUCUCUCUCUAUUCCGUCCCUGUCUUGUUUUCCGCAUGUCGGCUCUCCUGUUGUUAAUCACUCUCUUUUCCACCCGCUGCUCGUCCCCCAUCAUUUAUUCUUGGCCAGUUUCAGAGCUCUCUGAUUGGCUGUGAGCCCCGGGCCGAUGCGCUGCCUGUCGUGAUGUAUUAAUGCGCUGCUGUCCAUUGUUAACAAUGUGGAUGAAUGGGGAAAGACUCACUGUCUUCUGCUCACACACAGAGGGGGUUAUUAACACCGCAGUGUCCAAAGCCACGGUCAUCACGACCACAUUUCAAAGUACACCGGGACGUCCAGGUCAGCACAUUUACAAGAGAAAUCUCCGGCCCAUUAUUGAUUCAAACAGCCUGAGCCGUGAGGGUAGGGGCCAGGGGGAAAGGAUAGGAGGGGGAAGAGAGGUGAAGUAUAGGAGGUGAAGGAAAGGUUUGGAAGGAAAGGAGGGGAAGGAGAGAGGUGAAGAUGUAAACUCUCACCUGGACAAACCCAUCCUGGCAUUUCUAAACAAGCUGUUAACAUGCACGACUUAAAGCAUGGACUCAUCGGGUCUCUGAUAUUCA
This is a long non-coding RNA of Gadus macrocephalus (Pacific cod), 3620 nucleotides long. RefSeq lists it as uncharacterized. Lineage: Eukaryota; Metazoa; Chordata; Actinopteri; Gadiformes; Gadidae. The record is from RefSeq and is a predicted model, not a curated record. The transcript has 2 exons.